Molecule: transfer RNA, 67 nt
Filed under: Callosobruchus chinensis (azuki bean weevil)
Lineage: Eukaryota; Metazoa; Arthropoda; Insecta; Coleoptera; Chrysomelidae
Description: tRNA-Ser
Source: RNAcentral
GAAAUAUGUAAAUUCAAGGAUAAGCUUCUAACUUAAUCUUUAAGCGAUGAAAUUCGUUUAUAUUUCU